Molecule: non-coding RNA, 75 nt
Filed under: Candidatus Woesebacteria bacterium GW2011_GWF2_46_8
Lineage: Bacteria; Candidatus Woeseibacteriota
Source: RNAcentral
GUCCGCCAAGGUACGGGAAAACCGUGUGCCUGGUGGGGAGAGAAGCAUAAAGAGUAAUCUUAGUGACUAUCUCAG